CAGAGUGAACGCUGGCGGCAGGCCUAACACAUGCAAGUCGAACGGCAGCACAGAGGAGCUUGCUCCUUGGGUGGCGAGUGGCGGACGGGUGAGGAAAACGUCGGAAUCUGCCUAUUUGUGGGGGAUAACGUAGGGAAACUUACGCCUAAUACCGCAUACGACCUACGGGUGAAAGCGGAGGACCUUCGGGCUUCGCGCAGAUAGAUGAGCCGACGUCGGAUUAGCUAGUUGGCGGGGUAAAGGCCCACCAAGGCGACGAUCGGUAGCGGGUCUGAGAGGAUGAUCCGCCACACUGGGACUGAGACACGGCCCAGACUCCUACGGGAGGCAGCAGUGGGGAAUUUGGACAAUGGGGGCAACCCUGAUCCAGCCAUGCCGCGUGAGUGAAGAAGG
This 393-nucleotide ribosomal RNA is filed under the name uncultured soil bacterium. Its description in RNAcentral is "bacterial SSU rRNA". It matches the Rfam family "Bacterial small subunit ribosomal RNA", at positions 25 to 414 of the family's 1533-position model. The record is from RNAcentral.